GAUGAAGAACGUAGCGAAAUGCGAUAAGUAGUGUGAAUUGCAGAAUUCAGUGAAUCAUCGAGUCUUUGAACGCACAUUGCGCCCGCUAGUAUUCUGGCGGGCAUGCCUGUCCGAGCGUCAUUUCAACCCUCAAGCCCCCGGGCUUGGUGUUGGGGAUCGGCGAGCCUCCGCGCCCGCCGUCCCCUAAAUCUAGUGGCGGUCUCGCUGUAGCUUCCUCUGCGUAGUAGCACACCUCGCACUGGGAAACAGCGCGGCCACGCCGUUAAACCCCCAACUUCUGAACGUUUGACCUCGGAUCAGGUAGGAAUACCCGCUGAACUUAAGCAUAUCAAUAAGCGGAGGA
Molecule: unclassified non-coding RNA, 343 nt
Filed under: soil metagenome
Description: partial contains 5.8S ribosomal RNA, internal transcribed spacer 2, and large subunit ribosomal RNA
Rfam family: 5.8S ribosomal RNA (bases 1-120)
Source: RNAcentral